RNAcentral lists this long non-coding RNA (483 nucleotides) under Scleropages formosus (Asian bonytongue). RNAcentral describes it as "lncRNA (ENSSFOG00015025510.1)". Lineage: Eukaryota; Metazoa; Chordata; Actinopteri; Osteoglossiformes; Osteoglossidae. The record is from RNAcentral.
GGUGUCCGAACACAUCGAGUUCCUGCAACGACAGCAAAUUGCACCUUGGGCUUCGGGCUCCGCUUCCAGGUUCCUUCCUGCCGGAGCCCUUUGAACCCGGCUCACCUGAAAGCGCGUGCCUGCCGACAGGACGGCCGCACAUGCUUCCUCCACCUGCCAGGGGACACAAGCACACGGAUGCAGCGUAAGGAUGACCCCCGGCUCAUCGCAGUUCCAUGAAGCCAUUGGCCAGAGACAGAGCAGACGAGAAACAGAGCUAAGUAUCGUCGUCAUAACAGUGAAGGCUAAUAUUAAUUGUUGAGCAACGUCCCAGAAUGGCAGCACAUAAAGUGAGAACAGUAAGGGACCCAACACUAAGCCAUGGGGAACACCAUCAUUGACCUUACACGCUCUUUGACCCCACGCAUCACACAAAAUUCACUAAUACUACAGUACAGUAUAUUCAAGUGCAAUAAUAGGAAAUAAAGCAUAAUUACAAGGAAU